Molecule: ribosomal RNA, 251 nt
Filed under: uncultured Micrococcaceae bacterium
Lineage: Bacteria; Bacillati; Actinomycetota; Actinomycetes; Micrococcales; Micrococcaceae
Description: partial 16S ribosomal RNA
Rfam family: Bacterial small subunit ribosomal RNA
Source: RNAcentral
GGAUGAGUGGCGAACGGGUGAGUAAUACGUGAGUAACCUGCCCUUGACUCUGGGAUAAGCCUGGGAAACUGGGUCUAAUACUGGAUACGACAUGUCACCGCAUGGUGGUGUGUGGAAAGGGUUUUACUGGUUUUGGAUGGGCUCACGGCCUAUCAGCUUGUUGGUGGGGUAAUGGCUCACCAAGGCGACGACGGGUAGCCGGCCUGAGAGGGUGACCGGCCACACUGGGACUGAGACACGGCCCAGACUCC